GACGAACGCUGGCGGCGUGCCUAACACAUGCAAGUCGAACGGAAAGGGCCUGCUUUUGUGGGCUGCUCGAGUGGCGAACGGGUGAGUAACACGUGAGUAACCUGCCCGUGACUGGGGGAUAACUACAGGAAACUGGGGCUAAUACCGGAUAGUAGCUCCUGCUGCAUGGUGGGGGUUGGAAAGGUGCGGCGGUUGGGGAUGGAAUCGCGGCUGAGCAGCUUUUUGGUGGGGUAGUGGCUUACCCAGGCCUUGACGGGUAGCCGUCCUGGGAGGGUGACCGGCCACAUUGGGACUGAGGUACGGCCCAGACGGCUACGGGAGGCAGCAGUGGGAAAUAUUGCGCAAUGGGCCGAAGCCUUAUACAGCGGCGCCGGGUGCGGAAUGACGGCUUUCGGGUUAUAAACCGCGUUAGCCUGUGACGUUGCCUCAGUGACGGUAAUGGGUAAAGAAGCACCGGCUAACUACGUG
Molecule: ribosomal RNA, 468 nt
Filed under: uncultured bacterium
Lineage: Bacteria
Description: partial 16S ribosomal RNA
Rfam family: Bacterial small subunit ribosomal RNA
Source: RNAcentral